GUGCUCACUUCGGCAGCAUAUAUACUAAAAUUGGAACAUGCAGAGAAGAUUAGCAUGGCUCCCGCACAAGGAUGACACGCUUCUAAAAUGCCAUCAGUGUCUAU
Small nuclear RNA from Eublepharis macularius, 104 nucleotides. The record is from RefSeq and is a predicted model, not a curated record. NCBI's taxonomy places the organism in Eukaryota, Metazoa, Chordata, Lepidosauria, Squamata, Eublepharidae.